This 248-nucleotide unclassified non-coding RNA is filed under the name Mucoromycotina sp. RNAcentral's name for it is "partial contains small subunit ribosomal RNA, internal transcribed spacer 1, and 5.8S ribosomal RNA". The stretch from base 1 to 47 matches the Rfam family "Eukaryotic small subunit ribosomal RNA", at positions 1785 to 1831 of the family's 1831-position model. Lineage: Eukaryota; Fungi; Mucoromycota. The record is from RNAcentral.
AAAGUCGUAACAAGGUUUCCGUAGGUGAACCUGCGGAAGGAUCAUUCAUAAUAAGUGUUUUCUGGGCACUUUUUAAAAUACCAUACCCACCUUGUGUGCAAUGUUUGUUUGAUUGUAUGGACGCGUCUUUGACGCGUUUGUGCAACUAAACUUAAAUUACCAACCUAUAUUUUUAACAACUUUGUCUUAAAACUAUUAUGAAUACUUAAUUCAAAAUACAACUUUCAACAACGGAUCUCUUGGCUCUC